UUCUCGCAAUCUCUCUCUCUCUCUCUCUCUCUCUCUCUCUCUCUCUCUCUCUCUCUCUUCUUCUUCUUCUUCUCUGAAAUUUGGAAGUAGUUGAGUCAGAGAUGUUCGCUUUAGGCGAUGAUCUCAUCAUAGAAUUUCCAGGGGAGUCAUGGCUCUUAAGUCUGCACCUAUUGGUGAUGUUCCUCUUCUUCCUCCUCCUCUUCACUCACCUUACAAUCCAUGGCUUCGACGCCGACGCCGCCGCCGCCGACGACCACCGAAAGGUUUCGACUGUUGCCGCCGAUCAUUUUAUGAGUCGAGACCACCGGAAGGCGAAGCAAAUCAAGAACAACUCCAUUAAAAUUGGGAUCAACUGCUCUCAGGAUAAGUAUAAGGUGAAUACCAUCAGAGGCCACUUGACAACAUCCACAAGAAGAACAAAACUAAAGGAGAGGAAGGAACAAGAUGGUGAAGAAGAAAUAGAAGAAAUGGGAGAAUCUUCACCAAUGGUGGUCAAACGAAGAACACUAAUGCACUUUUGUGUUAAUCCCUGCUAUUACCUAGAACAAUUCUUAAAGCCUUUUUUGAAGUGCUUUGGUCUUGAAUCUACAUAUCAUGAUUCUUAACAACAAAACAAGGAAGAAAAUUUAAUGAAUAUCAAGAGAAAAGCCAUUGGACCAAGGUUGCAAUGUAGAUCCACAAAUCCUUCAAAGCAUCAAUGAUGGCUGGGGGAGCUUCCAAUGCAUAUUCAUUCAAUACAAUAACACAACUUUGUAACACAAAUGUAUGAAAUUUUCUCCAAUUUGUGCCA
RNA transcript from Macadamia integrifolia, 790 nucleotides. RefSeq lists it as uncharacterized. The record is from RefSeq and is a predicted model, not a curated record. The transcript is spliced from 3 exons. Lineage: Eukaryota; Viridiplantae; Streptophyta; Magnoliopsida; Proteales; Proteaceae.